AAAUACAGAGACAACCUUGAGAUUGCUGCAGAACUUGCAGUGUCAAGCUUGCAGGCACUUCUACACAGGACGCUCAGUGACUACAAAAACGCUGGACAUGAUUCCCAGUCAACCAGUUUAGAGAUCAGAUUAAUUCAAAGCCAGGAUGAUAUUCGCAACCCAGAAGUCAACUUUAAAGCAGAAAUAUACAGCUAAAGUUGCGAUUUAAUUUGGACAUGUAUGUAUUAAUGUGUAUUAUUAUUAAAGAAUGAAGAGAAUUAUGAUAAAUUGAGAAGGAAAGUUUAUUUAUUUGUUUUUUAUUGAUCAAGUUUAGAAAUGGGAAAGUUUUAGAAUCUAA
Molecule: long non-coding RNA, 337 nt
Organism: Vigna unguiculata (cowpea)
Lineage: Eukaryota; Viridiplantae; Streptophyta; Magnoliopsida; Fabales; Fabaceae
Source: RefSeq, a predicted model, not a curated record